Molecule: ribosomal RNA, 303 nt
Filed under: uncultured bacterium
Lineage: Bacteria
Description: bacterial SSU rRNA
Rfam family: Bacterial small subunit ribosomal RNA
Source: RNAcentral
UGAGGAAUAUUGGUCAAUGGGCGUAAGCCUGAACCAGCCAAGUCGCGUGAGGGAUGAAGGAUCUAUGGUUCGUAAACCUCUUUUAUAAGGGAAUAAAGUGCGGGACGUGUCCUGUUUUGUAUGUACCUUAUGAAUAAGGAUCGGCUAACUCCGUGCCAGCAGCCGCGGUAAUACGGAGGAUCCGAGCGUUAUCCGGAUUUAUUGGGUUUAAAGGGUGCGUAGGCGGCCUUUUAAGUCAGCGGUGAAAGUCUGUGGCUCAACCAUAGAAUUGCCGUUGAAACUGGGGGGCUUGAGUAUGUUUGA